Molecule: long non-coding RNA, 539 nt
Organism: Xenia sp. Carnegie-2017
Lineage: Eukaryota; Metazoa; Cnidaria; Anthozoa; Malacalcyonacea; Xeniidae
Exons: 4
Source: RefSeq, a predicted model, not a curated record
UACCAAUCAAUGCGCAUUGCAGUUACUCGUUUAUUCUUCCAGCUCAGCUAUCGAAUCAUUUAGUUGUAACGUAUAUCUGUUUGAUGAGCAAAUAAUAAGGCGUCGUGUGGAUGUUGUACAAUUUAAUGAUGUAAGAUAAAUUUAUUUGUUGUAGCAUUGCAUCAGUUGAUACAGGAAUACAAAAUUUAUCAUGAUGUUGUUCAAUGCGCACUUUCAAAGAAGAAACUGGAAGUUCAAGAAAAUUAAGAGGACAUAGGAAUGCAUUUCUUUUGCCUUUUUGUUCACGUUUUGUAUUUGGUCAGCUCGUUCUAUUUGCCUAAAGCACGACGCAAAUCCACACUUCAAUAAAAAGUAACAACUUAUCUGUAGCACCCAGCAAGAAGGUUACGCAGCCAGAACACAAAACUACUUUAAAAGAAAUAAAUGAAUCUAGCAACAAAGAUAUCAUCCACUUAGUUAGGGAACUUGAAGUGUCUGGAAUAAAAAAUUCUUGCUAAUACAAAUGUGGAAGAAUCAUGCCCUUCUUCUAUUGUAUUGAG